AUGGCGGGGCGCGGCGACGACGUGGCCGUGAUGACCGUGGCGGAGUAUGAGGCAGGGAGGAGGAGGCGGGCGGAGCAGGUCGCGCUGCCGGCCGGCAUGGUGCUUGUGCUGGUGCUGACGGUGGUGACCAUGCUGCUUACCAAGGUGGCUCUCAGCGACAUGCACCCCCUCAUCCUGCUCCUCUACCGCAACCUCGUCGCCGCCGCGUGA
RNAcentral lists this ribosomal RNA (210 nucleotides) under Triticum aestivum (bread wheat). Its description in RNAcentral is "partial small subunit ribosomal RNA". Lineage: Eukaryota; Viridiplantae; Streptophyta; Magnoliopsida; Poales; Poaceae. The record is from RNAcentral.